RNAcentral lists this ribosomal RNA (496 nucleotides) under uncultured bacterium. RNAcentral's name for it is "bacterial SSU rRNA". It matches the Rfam family "Bacterial small subunit ribosomal RNA", at positions 505 to 1001 of the family's 1533-position model. The record is from RNAcentral.
GUGCCAGCCGCUGCGGUAAUACGGAGGGUGCAAGCGUUAAUCGGAAUUACUGGGCGUAAAGCGCACGCAGGCGGUCUGUCAAGUCGGAUGUGAAAUCCCCGGGCUCAACCUGGGAACUGCAUUCGAAACUGGCAGGCUAGAGUCUUGUAGAGGGGGGUAGAAUUCCAGGUGUAGCGGUGAAAUGCGUAGAGAUCUGGGGAAUACCGGUGGCGAAGGCGGCCCCCUGGACAAAGACUGACGCUCAGGUGCGAAAGCGUGGGGAGCAAACAGGAUUAGAUACCCUGGUGGUCCACGCUGUAAACGAUGUCGAUUUGGAGGUUGUGCCCUUGAGGCGUGGCUUCCGGAGCUAACGCGUUAAAUCGACCGCCUGGGGAGUACGGCCGCAAGGUUAAAACUCAAAUGAAUUGACGGGGGCCCGCACAAGCGGUGGAGCAUGUGGUUAAUUCGAUGCAACGCGAAGAACCUUACCUGGUACUUGACAUCCACAGAACUUAGC